This 253-nucleotide ribosomal RNA is filed under the name uncultured bacterium. RNAcentral's name for it is "partial 16S ribosomal RNA". It matches the Rfam family "Bacterial small subunit ribosomal RNA", at positions 524 to 776 of the family's 1533-position model. The record is from RNAcentral.
UACGUAGGUGGCAAGCGUUAUCCGGAUUUAUUGGGUGUAAAGGGCGUGUAGGCGGGAGCGCAAGUCAGAUGUGAAAACUCAGGGCUCAACCCUGAGCCUGCAUUUGAAACUGUGUUUCUUGAGUGCUGGAGAGGCAAUCGGAAUUCCGUGUGUAGCGGUGAAAUGCGUAGAUAUACGGAGGAACACCGGUGGCGAAGGCGGAUUGCUGGACAGUAACUGACGCUGAGGCGCGAAAGCGUGGGGAGCAAACAGG